Molecule: non-coding RNA, 99 nt
Organism: Acanthosepion pharaonis
Lineage: Eukaryota; Metazoa; Mollusca; Cephalopoda; Sepiida; Sepiidae
Source: the annotation of a GenBank genome assembly
GCUGAAAUACCGGUUCUCGUACGAUCACUAAAAUUAAGCAACGUCUAGCCUGGUCAGUACCUAGUUGGGUGGCCACAUGCGAAGACCAGGUGCUGUAAG